CCUACGGGGGGCAGCAGUGGGGAAUAUUGCACAAUGGGGGAAACCCUGAUGCAGCGACGCCGCGUGAGCGAUGAAGUAUUUCGGUAUGUAAAGCUCUAUCAGCAGGGAAGAAAAUGACGGUACCUGACUAAGAAUCCCCGGCUAACUACGUGCCAGCAGCCGCGGUAACACGUAGGGGGCAAGCGUUAUCCGGAUUUACUGGGUGUAAAGGGAGCGUAGGCGGUGGUGCAAGUCAGAUGUGAAAGCCCGGGGCUCAACCCCGGGACUGCAUUUGGAACUGUGCGGCUAGAGUGUAGGAGAGGUAGGCGGAAUGCCUAGUGUAGCGGUGAAAUGCGUAGAUAUUAGGAGGAACACCAGUGGCGAAGGCGGCCUGCUGGACGGUGACUGACGUUGAGGCUCGAAAGCGUGGGGAGCAAACAGGAUUAGAUACCCUAGUAGUC
RNAcentral lists this ribosomal RNA (440 nucleotides) under uncultured bacterium. RNAcentral describes it as "partial 16S ribosomal RNA". It matches the Rfam family "Bacterial small subunit ribosomal RNA", at positions 338 to 795 of the family's 1533-position model. The record is from RNAcentral.